This is a non-coding RNA of Kogia breviceps (pygmy sperm whale), 1634 nucleotides long. NCBI's taxonomy places the organism in Eukaryota, Metazoa, Chordata, Mammalia, Artiodactyla, Physeteridae. The record is from RefSeq and is a predicted model, not a curated record.
ACGUAAGACGUCCAGGAAGGUGCUGAUGGUUUUCGGCUGGGUGAGGGUAGAGAAGGUUUCCAAGGCGCCCUCGGGCCUCGCGGGCUCAGGGCCCACGCAGUUUUCUCUGGUGGCACCGGGGGGCGAUGUGGAGCGUCCCACAGCGCACCUACGCCCCGGAGGCUCAUGGGCGUUGUAGUUCCCAGGGCGGCGAGCUGUGCUGAAACUUAGAGUGGGAGGGCGAGGCCAGGUCUGGAGGCACGGUCCCGUCUUCCUUGAGGCAGAAGCGGCCGUCCCGGCGUGGAUGACUCCGGAACGUCCUGGCCCCGACCCCCCUGGAGUGCGACCCACUGCGCGGGUCUGGCGACAGAUCUGGCGGCCGUGUGUCGCGGCUGGAGGAACAGUGCCUAAUACUUAGGUGAAGAAGUAUUUGUUGAAGGAAGAAUUUGUUGAAUAUUUUCAGUUGAGCGUUCAGUUAAGCAUUGUGUUGGGCUUAAGUUUCUCGAUGUUUUCAAUGGAAGGCAAAUUUUGUAUUCACAUUCAUUUAAAAAAUAAAGGUGAGUCACUGUAACUUUUGAGGCUUCUGCUUUAUUAUCUAUAAAAUGGGGUUGAGUGAAGAGGUUAAACCUGAUGAUCUCUAAGAUUUUUGGUAGCUCUAACUUCUGAAAGGAGAUGGGGUCUUCUGUCAUUGAAAUGGCUUCUGGGGUGACCCACAACUUAGUGGCAAAUUGGGAACUAGGACCCAGAGCCUUGUUGUUGGUGUCACUCGACAGACUUAUUGGAAGCUCAAGGGCAUCCUUCACUCUUCCCCACCAGCCCUGGCAGUGUCUCCUCAGAAAUCUUUCUGGACAUUCUCCUUGGAACCAACCGCACUGCACUGCCUUGGCCAGGAUUAUGAAGCUGGUAGAAUGUAAGCUUGGAAUUCUGGUGGCCAUCUUGCUAUCUAUGAGGGGAAAACCUGCCUGAGAAGGAAGACAGUCCAGAGGAAAGCAGAGCUAAGAGACAGCAAGUUCAGAUGGACAUCGUUUGAGCCUGUGGCUCCACAGCCAUGCCUGACAUCAUUCUACCUCUGAUUUUUAAAUUCUGUAAACCAAUAAACUCCCCCUCUUUUCAUGUUUAAACUACCUUAAACGGGGUGGGGGGGUGUUCCUAUUACUUGUAACUGAAAGCAUCCUGAGUAUUACAUCCCCUGUUCCUAAGGAGGAAGAAGUGUUUUCCCUUUCAUAUUAAUACCUUGGCUUAACCUGGGCACUGGAUCCAUCCUUCCCACCUUCCCCAAACUUCACUCCUUCAAUUACCAUCCUUUCUACUGGCUCCUUUCCCCUAGGACUUCAGAUAUAAUCAGGUUUCCCUCAGGAUUGAAACAAACAAGCAAACCUUUCCACCCUCUAAAAUUGCAGCCCUCCAUAUCUCUCUCCUUCCCUUUUUGGCCAAACUGUAGCGCAGCUCUCAGCAUUCCUCCUCCCACUUGUUCACCUUCCAUUCAUUCCUCAGUCCACUACCAUUGGCUUCUGCUUCCUUUUCACUUCCCUAAAGAUACUCUCAACAAAGUCACCAAGCAAUCUAAGUCAGUGUAUUCUAUAGGAGACAAUGGCAGUGCCCAGUACCAUGGAUCCCUCUUUAUCAUUUGUGUGUGAAGUGUUUGCCCAAUUCCU